This 193-nucleotide ribosomal RNA is filed under the name uncultured bacterium. RNAcentral describes it as "partial 16S ribosomal RNA". It matches the Rfam family "Bacterial small subunit ribosomal RNA", at positions 328 to 537 of the family's 1533-position model. The record is from RNAcentral.
ACGCUCGACACCUACGGGAGCAGCAGUGGGGAAUAUUGCACAAUGGGGGAAACCCUGAUGCAGCGACGCCGCGUGGAGGAAGAAGGUCUUCGGAUUGUAAACUCCUGUUGUUGGGGAAAAGGAGGAUGGUACCCAACAAGGAAGUGACGGCUAACUACGUGCCAGCAGCUGACGUAUCUGNGCGGCUGACAGC